UUUGCCCAUGGCCGAAAGUCUGAGCAGCAACGCCGCGUGUGCGAUGAAGGUCUUCGGACUGUAAAGCACUUUUCUGAGGGAAGAGGAAGGACUGUACCUCAGGAAUAAGNCUCGGCUAACUACGUGCCAGCAGCCGCGGUAACACGUAGGAGGCAAGCGUUAUCCGGAUUUACNUGGGCGUAAAGCGCGUGCAGGCGGUUUGGUUAGUUGGAUGUGAAAGCUCCUGGCUCAACUGGGAGAGGCCGUUCAAUACUGCCAGACUAGAGGACGGUAGAGGAAGGUAGAAUUCCCGGUGUAGUGGUGAAAUGCGUAGAUAUCGGGAGGAAUACCAGUGGCGAAGGCGGCCUUCUGGGCCGUUCCUGACGCUAAGACGCGAAAGCAUGGGUAGCGAACGGGAUUAGAAACCCCGGUAGUCCAUGCUGUAAACGAUGCAAACUUGGUGUUGGUGGUGUAAAAACCAUCAGUACCGCAGCCAACGCGAUAAGUUUGCCGCCUGGGGAUUACGACCGCAAGGUUAAAACUCAAAAAAAUUGACGGA
This 538-nucleotide ribosomal RNA is filed under the name uncultured bacterium. RNAcentral's name for it is "bacterial SSU rRNA". It matches the Rfam family "Bacterial small subunit ribosomal RNA", at positions 364 to 917 of the family's 1533-position model. The record is from RNAcentral.